Molecule: ribosomal RNA, 689 nt
Filed under: uncultured marine group I thaumarchaeote
Lineage: Archaea; Thermoproteati; Nitrososphaerota
Description: bacterial SSU rRNA
Rfam family: Archaeal small subunit ribosomal RNA
Source: RNAcentral
CCCUAUGGGGUGCAGCAGGCGAGAAAACUUUGCAAUGUGCGAAAGCACGACAAGGUUAGUCCGAGUGAUUUCUGCUAAAGAGAUCUUUUGCAAGUUGUAAAACCACUAGUGAAUAGGGGGUGGGCAAGUUCUGGUGUCAGCCGCCGCGGUAAAACCAGCACCUCGAGUGGUCAGGAGGAUUAUUGGGCCUAAAGCAUCCGUAGCCGGCUUUGUUAGUUUUCGGUUAAAUCCAUGCGCUCAACGCAUGGGCUGUCGGAAAUACUGCAUAGCUAGGGAGUGGGAGAGGUAGACGGUACUCAGUAGGAAGGGGUAAAAUCCUUUGAUCUAUUGAUGACCACCUGUGGCGAAGGCGGUCUACCAGAACACGUUCGACAGUGAGGGAUGAAAGCUGGGGGAGCAAACCGGAUUAGAUACCCGGGUAGUCCCAGCUGUAAACGAUGCAGACUCGAUGAUGCAUUGGCAUAUAGCCAGUGCAGUGCUGCAGGGAAGCCGUUAAGUUUGCCGCCUGGGAAGUACGUACGCAAGUAUGAAACUUAAAGGAAUUGGCGGGGGAGCACCACAAGGGGUGAAGCCUGCGGUUCAAUUGGAGUCAACGCCAGAAAUCUUACCCGGAGAGACAGCAGGAUGAAGGUCAAGCUGAAGACUUUACCAGACAAGCUGAGAAGUGGUGCAUGGCCAAGGGCGAAUUC